GCGGGCGUGGUGGAAUUGGUAGACACAAGGGACUUAAAAUCCCUCGGCCCUAGGCUGUACGGGUUCGAGUCCCGUCGCCCGCA
Non-coding RNA from Labrenzia sp. C1B10, 83 nucleotides. NCBI's taxonomy places the organism in Bacteria, Pseudomonadati, Pseudomonadota, Alphaproteobacteria, Hyphomicrobiales, Stappiaceae. The record is from Rfam.